Molecule: ribosomal RNA, 254 nt
Filed under: uncultured bacterium
Lineage: Bacteria
Description: partial 16S ribosomal RNA
Rfam family: Bacterial small subunit ribosomal RNA
Source: RNAcentral
UACGGAGGGUGCGAGCGUUGUCCGGAAUCACUGGGCGUAAAGGGCGCGUAGGCGGCGCGGGAAGUCAUCGGUGAAAGUUCAGGGCUCAACUCUGAAUCGGCCGGUGAUACUCUCGUGCUCGAGCACUGUAGAGGCAGGUGGAAUUCCGGGUGUAGCGGUGGAAUGCGUAGAGAUCCGGAAGAACACCGGUGGCGAAGGCGGCCUGCUGGGCAGUGGCUGACGCUGAUGCGCGACAGCGUGGGGAGCAAACGAGG